This 500-nucleotide ribosomal RNA is filed under the name uncultured bacterium. RNAcentral's name for it is "bacterial SSU rRNA". It matches the Rfam family "Bacterial small subunit ribosomal RNA", at positions 29 to 526 of the family's 1533-position model. The record is from RNAcentral.
AUUGAACGCUGGCGGCAUGCCUUACACAUGCAAGUCGAACACGAAAGGGGGCAACCCUGAGUAGAGUGGCGAACGGGUGAGUAACGCAUCGGAACGUGUCCCGUAGUGGGGGAUAACCCAUCGAAAGGUGGGCUAAUACCGCAUACGACCUGAGGGAGAAAGCCGGGGAUCGCAAGACCUGGCGCUAUGGGAGCGGCCGAUGUCCGAUUAGCUAGUUGGUGGGGUAAAAGCCUACCAAGGCGACGAUCGGUAGCUGGUCUGAGAGGAUGAUCAGCCACACUGGGACUGAGACACGGCCCAGACUCCUACGGGAGGCAGCAGUGGGGAAUUUUGGACAAUGGGGGCAACCCUGAUCCAGCCAUGCCGCGUGAGUGAAGAAGGCCUUCGGAUUGUAAAGCUCUUUCGGCCGGAACGAAAUCGUAUCUCUUAACAGGGGGUAUGGAUGACGGUACCGGAAGAAGAAGCACCGGCUAACUACGUGCCAGCCGCCGCAGUAACAC